GGUGGUUAACAGCUUGGCUGCUAACCAAAAGGCUGGUAGUUCUAAUCUACCAGCCACUC
This 59-nucleotide transfer RNA is filed under the name Loxodonta africana (African savanna elephant). Lineage: Eukaryota; Metazoa; Chordata; Mammalia; Proboscidea; Elephantidae. The record is from Rfam by way of RNAcentral.